CCUACGGGAGGCAGCAGUGGGGAAUAUUGGACAAUGGGCGAAAGCCUGAUCCAGCAAUUCCGCGUGUGUGAAGAAGGCCUUCGGGUUGUAAAGCACUUUAGUGGGGGAAGAAACAGCUUGGCCACACCAAGCCUUGACGGUACCCCAAGAAUAAGCACCGGCUAACUCUGUGCCAGCAGCCGCGGUAAUACAGAGGGUGCAAGCGUUAAUCGGAUUUACUGGGCGUAAAGGGUGCGUAGGUGGCUAUUUAAGUCGGAUGUGAAAGCCCGGGGCUCAACCUCGGAAUUGCAUUCGAUACUGAGUGGCUAGAGUUCGGUAGAGGGCGGCGGAAUUUCCGGUGUAGCGGUGAAAUGCGUAGAUAUCGGAAGGAACAUCAAUGGCGAAGGCAGCCGCCUGGGCCUGGACUGACACUGAGGCACGAAAGCGUGGGUAGCAAACAGGAUUAGAUACCCUGGUAGUCCACGCCGUAAACGAUGAGAACUUGACGUUGGUUCGUUUUACGAAUCGGUGUCGCNGCUACGACGAUAGUUACUCCGUCCGUCGGGUAGGUACGGCCGGCCGACGGUUAGGUAAACGUAACGUAAGUAAGUACGGACGCGUGAGACGUCGACGACGACGACGACGGAGGGAGGAGG
RNAcentral lists this ribosomal RNA (635 nucleotides) under uncultured bacterium. RNAcentral's name for it is "bacterial SSU rRNA". The stretch from base 1 to 538 matches the Rfam family "Bacterial small subunit ribosomal RNA", at positions 338 to 873 of the family's 1533-position model. The record is from RNAcentral.